RNAcentral lists this long non-coding RNA (306 nucleotides) under Homo sapiens (human). RNAcentral describes it as "non-protein coding lnc-ULBP2-2:3". Lineage: Eukaryota; Metazoa; Chordata; Mammalia; Primates; Hominidae. The record is from RNAcentral.
UUCUGCCCCAGGGGAGAGGUUUCUCUUUUACUACCGCGAAAACCCACAGGACGCUGCUUCAUCCCAGAGCCAAGGAUACCAGGAAGGAAGGUCAGAGUGAGGAGGUGUCUGAGUGUUUCAGAUCACACAGUGACAUACUGCUUGAUGGCUUCAGAAAUCCUUCAUGAGCUGGGAGACAGCCCCAGAGGUGACAGCCCCAACCAUCUCGAGGACAACACAUCAGCAGCAGCAGCCACGUAGAUGUUUGUUUCUGUACCUGGAUUCUAAGUGCCUGAAGGACUGGACAUAUCUGGUUUCUAAGUUCCA